GAGGGUAUAGCUCAAUGGUAGAGUGUGUGCUUAGCAUGCAAGAGGUCCUGGGUUCAAUACCCAGUGCCUCCA
RNAcentral lists this transfer RNA (72 nucleotides) under Camelus bactrianus (Bactrian camel). It matches the Rfam family "tRNA". From Rfam's summary of the family: Transfer RNA (tRNA) molecules are approximately 80 nucleotides in length. Their secondary structure includes four short double-helical elements and three loops (D, anti-codon, and T loops). The record is from Rfam by way of RNAcentral. RNAcentral also lists the same sequence under 3 other names. Lineage: Eukaryota; Metazoa; Chordata; Mammalia; Artiodactyla; Camelidae.